GUCCCUGUAGCGUAAUUGAUAGUGCGUUGGACUUCAAAUCCAAAGGUCGUGGGUUCGAAUCCCACCUGGUAUG
Molecule: transfer RNA, 73 nt
Filed under: Trichonephila inaurata madagascariensis
Lineage: Eukaryota; Metazoa; Arthropoda; Arachnida; Araneae; Nephilidae
Rfam family: tRNA
About the family: Transfer RNA (tRNA) molecules are approximately 80 nucleotides in length. Their secondary structure includes four short double-helical elements and three loops (D, anti-codon, and T loops).
Source: Rfam by way of RNAcentral